RNAcentral lists this unclassified non-coding RNA (192 nucleotides) under Glomus sp. Its description in RNAcentral is "partial contains 5.8S ribosomal RNA and internal transcribed spacer 2". The stretch from base 1 to 65 matches the Rfam family "5.8S ribosomal RNA", at positions 84 to 154 of the family's 154-position model. Lineage: Eukaryota; Fungi; Glomeromycota; Glomeromycetes; Glomerales; Glomeraceae. The record is from RNAcentral.
GUGAAUCAUCAAAUCUUUGAACGCAAAUUGCACUCUCCUCGGAGAGUAUGCCUGUUUGAGGGUCAGCCUAUAAAAAAUCGACAUCGUUGCUGUUUCGCGGUGGCGUUCGUCGGAAAUUGGGUCAUCUUAAAUCCUUUUGAUUUUAGCGGCUUUAAAUUUUCUUUUGGUUUUAUGUACGCGUCUCUGAGAUUU